CCCAAUGCGCCAAAUCUACUCUAACUACCGCCCCCGACUUCACGAAUCUGGAGGAACUAUCUAAAAUUGCAUCGAACAUUGACACCGAAUUGGAACAAUCGAAAUCGAUAUUGAAAAGUGUGAUGAAUCAACUUGUUGAAAGCAAAUCAGGACACGCAGAAGUGCUCACUGUUUGCAAGGAUAUGAACAAUAGCAAUUGGACAACCGCUGAGCCAUGCUUUAAUGGAGUGAAAAAAAUGACCGGCUUGUCGCUGACCAUGAGUAGAAUGACGGCAAACGCUACUUUCUUGAAUCCGAAUCUUUUGAAAACACUAGAAAAACGUGCUAUUGAAAAAAUCAAUGACUCUCGAUCUGAUAUUGCUCAAUUUCUCGACGUACUGAGCUGUCUUCAAUCCAACAAAGAAUUGGACAAAAUUCAAAAGAACCUGUCAGAUUUGAAUUCGUUCCGAGCAGAUCAAAAAUUCCCGCCGAUAGUCACUGCCGUCGAAGAUGCUCUGAUCUCAGUUUCAAGCCUCAAUAGUGGUCUGAAAUCUCUGGCGCUGUACUUUAGCAAGCGCCGCAAAUUUGCUUCGGAUAAAACAUCCCAGUUUCCAAACGCCGCUGAACACACUAAUUCCAUUGGCCCAGCGGCACAAGAAAUUGCUCGACUGGAGGACGUGCUCCGAGAAAGAGCAAAUGUGGAUAUUAUCAAGAACCAUGCACAAAUUGUGCAACGAGAGUUGGCAGCGAGUGGAGCCACUUUGGCACAGGACGAUAAGGAUAAUCUGGAGAAGCUGGUGGCGCUUGGAGCAUCUUUGGAUGUGAUGUUUGUUCAGCUAGAUGCAUGGAAGAGUGGAAUUAAAAAGUCUGAUUCCACAAAAUUUGUAGACUAUGGUUAUGUUUUCACGGAAGCUAAGAAGGUUGAUUGGGCUAAUCUUGGUGGUCUUAUGGGCUUGGAAAAAUCGUUGGAAAAACUGGUAGAACUUGUGAAGGAUGUUGGCAAUAAGAAGUCGCUCGGUGAAGUUCAGGAUGCUCUGAAGAGCUUGGAUGAUGGUGGACUGGAGUUUUCAAGUUUUCAAAACAGACUUGAUGAACCGAAAAAGGCUCUUGCUGCUCUUGACUUGUUUUUUUCAAAUUUAUUCAAGCCUCUGCCGACUGCAAUUCUCCCACCGCCAGAUCUUGGAAAUUCUGAAAAGAAUGGUCCACCACCACAG
RNAcentral lists this small RNA (1193 nucleotides) under Caenorhabditis elegans. RNAcentral describes it as "Unclassified non-coding RNA Y48G1C.14". Lineage: Eukaryota; Metazoa; Nematoda; Chromadorea; Rhabditida; Rhabditidae. The record is from RNAcentral.